UCUUAAUCUCACUGAUAUCUGGCUCCCAGA
RNAcentral lists this non-coding RNA (30 nucleotides) under Mus musculus (house mouse). Lineage: Eukaryota; Metazoa; Chordata; Mammalia; Rodentia; Muridae. The record is from RNAcentral.